GACGAACGCUGGCGGCGUGCCUAAUACAUGCAAGUAGAACGCUGAAGAGAGGAGCUUACUCUUCUUGGAUGAGUUGCGAACGGGUGAGUAACGCGUAGGUAACCUGCCUUGUAGCGGGGGAUAACUAUUGGAAACGAUAGCUAAUACCGCAUAACAAUGGAUGACACAUGUCAUUUAUUUGAAAGGGGCAAUUGCUCCACUACAAGAUGGACCUGCGUUGUAUUAGCUAGUAGGUGAGGUAAUGGCUCACCUAGGCGACGAUACAUAGCCGACCUGAGAGGGUGAUAGGCCACACUGGGACUGAGACACGGCCCAGACCCCUACGGGAGGCAGCAGUAGGGAAUCUUCGGCAAUGGGGGCAACCCUGAACGAGCAACGCCGCGUGAGGGAAGAAGGGUUUCGGAUCGUAAAGCUCGGUUGUAAGUCAAGAACGGGUGUGAGAGUGGAAAGUUCACACUGUGACGGUAGCUUACCAGAAAGGGACGGCUAACUACGUG
RNAcentral lists this ribosomal RNA (497 nucleotides) under uncultured bacterium. RNAcentral's name for it is "partial 16S ribosomal RNA". It matches the Rfam family "Bacterial small subunit ribosomal RNA", at positions 28 to 507 of the family's 1533-position model. The record is from RNAcentral.